CCUACGGGUGGCAGCAGUGAGGAAUAUUGGUCAAUGGGCGCGAGCCUGAACCAGCCAAGUAGCGUGAAGGAUGACUGCCCUAUGGGUUGUAAACUUCUUUUAUAUGGGAAUAAAGUGUUGUACGUAUACUGCUUUGCAUGUACCUUAUGAAUAAGGAUCGGCUAACUCCGUGCCAGCAGCCGCGGUAAUACGGAGGAUUCGAGCGUUAUCCGGAUUUAUUGGGUUUAAAGGGAGCGUAGGGGGGUUGUUAAGUCAGUUGUGAAAGUUUGCGGCUCAACCGUAAAAUUGCAGUUGAUACUGGCAGCCUUGAGUACAGUAGAGGUAGGCGGAAUGCGUGGUGUAGCGGUGAAAUGCUUAGAUAUCACGAAGAACUCCGAUUGCGAAGGCAGCCUGCUGGACUGUAACUGACGCUGAGGCUCGAAAGUGUGGGUAUCAAACAGGAUUAGAUACCCCAGUAGUC
RNAcentral lists this ribosomal RNA (460 nucleotides) under uncultured bacterium. Its description in RNAcentral is "partial 16S ribosomal RNA". It matches the Rfam family "Bacterial small subunit ribosomal RNA", at positions 338 to 795 of the family's 1533-position model. The record is from RNAcentral.